Molecule: transfer RNA, 98 nt
Filed under: Henningerozyma blattae CBS 6284
Lineage: Eukaryota; Fungi; Ascomycota; Saccharomycetes; Saccharomycetales; Saccharomycetaceae
Description: Tetrapisispora blattae CBS 6284 tRNA
Rfam family: tRNA
About the family: Transfer RNA (tRNA) molecules are approximately 80 nucleotides in length. Their secondary structure includes four short double-helical elements and three loops (D, anti-codon, and T loops).
Source: Rfam by way of RNAcentral
GGCACUAUGGCCGAGUGGUUAAGGCGAAAGACUCGAAUGUUUUAUUUUCAGUUAUCUUUUGGGCUCUGCCCGCGCUGGUUCAAAUCCUGCUGGUGUCG